CAGAUGGACAGAUGGACACGGGGACAGAUGGACAGGAUGGACGACAGGAACCUGCGGACGGACAGACGGACAGAUGGACACGGGGACAGAUGGACAGGAUGGACGACAGGAACCUGCGGACAGAUGGACAGAUGGACACGGGGACAGACAGGAACCUGCGGACGGACAGACGGACAGACAUGGGGACAGAUGGACACGGGGACAGACAGGAACCUGCGGGGAUGGACAGACGGACGGACAUGGGGACACAGGGACAGACAGGAACCUGCGGACAGAUGGACAGACAUGGGGACAGAUGGACACGAUGGACGACAGGAACCUGCGGACGGACAGACGGACAGAUGGACACGGGGACACGGGGACAGGGACAGACAGGAACCUGCGGACGGACAGACAUGGGGACAGAUGGACACGAUGGACGACAGGAACCUGCGGACAGAUGGACAGAUGGACAGAUGGACACGGGGACAGACAGGGACCUGCGGACGGACAGACGGACAGAUGGACACGGGGACAGAUGGACACAAUGGACGACAGGAACCUGGGGACAGACGGACGGACAGACAUGGGGACACAGGGACAGAUGGACAGGAUGGACGACAGGAACCUGCGGGGAUGGACAGAUGGACACGGGGACAGGGACAGACAGGAACCUGCGGACAGAUGGACAGAUGGACACGGGGACAGACAGGAACCUGCGGACGGACAGACGGACAGACAUGGGGACAGAUGGACACGAUGGACAGAUGGACAGGAUGGACGACAGGAACCUGGGGAUGGACAGACGGACAGAUGGACACGGGGACAGACAGGAACCUGCGGACGAACAGACGGACAGACAUGGGGACAGGGACAGACAGGAACCUGCGGACGGACAGACGGACAGAUGGACACGGGGACAGAUGGACAGGAUGGACGACAGGAACCUGGGGAUGGACAGACGGACAGAUGGACACGGGGACAGACAGGAACCUGCGGGGAUGGACAGACGGACAGAUGGACAAAUGGACACAGGGACACAGAGACAGACAGGAACCUGCGGACGGACAGACGGACAGACAUGGGGACAGAUGGACACGGGGACAGAUGGACACGGGGACACAGGGACAGACAGGAACCUGCGGACAGACGGACAGACAUGGGGACAGAUGGCCACGAUGGACGACAGGAACCUGCGGACGGACAGACGGACAGAUGGACAAAUGGACACGGGGACAGGGACAGGGACAGACAGGAACCUGCGGACAGAUGGACAGACGGACAUGGGGAUGGAUGGACGACAGGACAGACAGAUGGACACGGGGACAGAUGGACACGGGGACAGGGACAGACAGGAACCUGCGGGGAUGGACAGAUGGAUGGACACGGGGACAGACAGACAGACAGACAGAUGGACACAGGGACAGACAGACAGAUGGACAGAUGGACAUGGGGACAGGGACAGACGGACACUCAGGGACAGACGGACACGGGGACAGACAGACAGGAACCUGCGGGCACAUGGGCACACGGACAGACGGACACAGGGACAGACAGACAGGAACCUGCGGACGGACAGACGGACAUGGGGACGGAUGGACGACAGGACAGACAGAUGGACACGGGGACAGAGAC
RNAcentral lists this long non-coding RNA (1614 nucleotides) under Lonchura striata (white-rumped munia). RNAcentral describes it as "domestica (Bengalese finch) lncRNA (ENSLSDG00000001789.1)". Lineage: Eukaryota; Metazoa; Chordata; Aves; Passeriformes; Estrildidae. The record is from RNAcentral.